CGUUUAGGGGUAAACCUGAGAAACCCGAAAGGUCGAAGGGAGAAAUUCAUUCGCGUUUCGAUGCGGGCGUUUAAUGAAGUGAUUCAAGUGACGAGAAUUGUUUCGACAAUUUUUGCACCCUUCAUUUUUCGAACCUGUAACGAAUGCGUGCACUUUUCUCCUGGUAGGACGUCGCGAUCCGUUGGGUGUCGGUCUAAGGUCAAUGGUGGAGGCCAGUCGUCGGUUAUUGUAACUUGUUACAGUAAUCUCAGAUAAUUGGACCCGUUGUAACCUGGACGACUUGCUCGACGGUAUACUGAAAGGUUUUGGAUCGCUGCUUAUUUUAAUAAGCGUUCGACUUAUGGCAAGCGCGCCAGUUGUUUGUCGAUAAUCGGACCUAGUGCCGGUUACGACCUCUGGUGACUGUUGGCUAUAAUGUUCUCGAACCGAUUCGCUUUAUAAAAACCGAUCUGCGGCGCUAUAGAUUUGGGUAAUUUCAGGACCCGUCUUGAAACACGGACCAAGGAGUCUAGCAUGUACGCAAGUCAUUGGGAUUUAAACUAAACCCAAGGGCGUAAUGAAAGUAAAGAUCUUUCUUGUAGAGAUCAAGGGAAGAUGAAUGAUUAAUGAGCAAUUGUUAAUUGUUUCGCAUUCCCGGGGCGUCUUAAUCUCAUUACGAGAUGAGGCGCACCAAGAGCGUACACGCUGGGACCCGAAAGAUGGUGAACUAUGCCUGGUCAGGACGAAGUCAGGGGAAACCCUGAUGGAGGUCCGUAGCGAUUCUGACGUGCAAAUCGAUCGUCGGAACUGGGUAUAGGGGCGAAAGACUAAUCGAACCAUC
This 820-nucleotide ribosomal RNA is filed under the name Ficicis despectus. RNAcentral describes it as "eukaryotic LSU rRNA". It matches the Rfam family "Eukaryotic large subunit ribosomal RNA", at positions 406 to 944 of the family's 3401-position model. The record is from RNAcentral. Lineage: Eukaryota; Metazoa; Arthropoda; Insecta; Coleoptera; Curculionidae.